UAGGUGUGCCAUGCAAGUUGUUGGUGGA
Molecule: non-coding RNA, 28 nt
Filed under: Homo sapiens (human)
Lineage: Eukaryota; Metazoa; Chordata; Mammalia; Primates; Hominidae
Source: RNAcentral